GUAACUUUCCUGCCCAAUGAUUUAUAUUUAAUGGCCGCGGUAUUCUGACCGUGCAAAGGUAGCAUAAUAAUUUGUCCAUUAAUUGUGGACUAGUAUAAACGGAGAAACGAAAUAAGAUCUAUUUCAAUAUACCAUUUUAUAAACUAAUUUAAAAGUGAAGAAUCUUUUAUUUUAUUAAAGGACAAGAAGACCCUAUAGAGCUUUAUCAUACCAUUAUAUAUUAUAAUUGCAUGAUUCGGUUGGGGCAACCUAGGAAAAUUCAUCCUACUAUAUAUUAUCAAGAUUUAUAUAUCUUACAAUUUGAUCCAUUCUAUGAACACUAAACAAAGCUACCUUAGGGAUAACAGGCUAAUCCCUCUUUAGAGUUCUUAUCAACAGAGGGGAUUGGCACCUCGAUGUUGGCUUAGAUUCCCUUCAGGGCGCAGAUGUCUUAAAAGGGGUUUGUUCAACCCACAAUCAUCU
This 462-nucleotide ribosomal RNA is filed under the name Grania variochaeta. Its description in RNAcentral is "partial 16S ribosomal RNA". It matches the Rfam family "Bacterial large subunit ribosomal RNA", at positions 1850 to 2597 of the family's 2925-position model. The record is from RNAcentral. Lineage: Eukaryota; Metazoa; Annelida; Clitellata; Enchytraeida; Enchytraeidae.